Dermochelys coriacea (leatherback sea turtle) is the source of this 128-nucleotide long non-coding RNA. RefSeq lists it as uncharacterized. The record is from RefSeq and is a predicted model, not a curated record. Lineage: Eukaryota; Metazoa; Chordata; Testudines; Dermochelyidae. The transcript is spliced from 3 exons.
UUGAGACACCUGUGACUUCUGGAGGAAACUACAAUCCCUCGGUCUUCCUGAAAACACCAUCCUAGCCACUAUGGAUGUAGAAGCCCUCUACACGAACAUUCCACACAAAGAUGUGCUACAAGCUGUCA